CUCUGUGACUCCUACGGGAGGCAGCAGUGGGGAAUAUUGCACAAUGGGGGAAACCCUGAUGCAGCCAUGCCGCGUGUGUGAAGAAGGCCUUCGGGUUGUAAAGCACUUUCAGUAGGGAGGAAGGUAGUGUAGUUAACACCUGCACUAUUUGACGUUACCUACAGAAGAAGCACCGGCUAACUCCGUGCCAGCAGCCGCGGUAAUACGGAGGGUGCGAGCGUUAAUCGGAAUUACUGGGCGUAAAGCGCAUGCAGGUGGUUUGUUAAGUCAGAUGUGAAAGCCCGGGGCUCAACCUCGGAAUUGCAUUUGAAACUGGCAGACUAGAGUACUGUAGAGGGGGUAGAAUUUCAGGUGUAGCGGUGAAAUGCGUAGAGAUCUGAAGGAAUACCGGUGGCGAAGGCGGCCCCCUGGACAGAUACUGACACUCAGAUGCGAAAGCGUGGGGAGCAAACAGGAUUAGAUACCCUGGUAG
This 472-nucleotide ribosomal RNA is filed under the name uncultured bacterium. RNAcentral's name for it is "bacterial SSU rRNA". It matches the Rfam family "Bacterial small subunit ribosomal RNA", at positions 328 to 793 of the family's 1533-position model. The record is from RNAcentral.